RNAcentral lists this long non-coding RNA (1620 nucleotides) under Pelobates cultripes (western spadefoot toad). The record is from RNAcentral. Lineage: Eukaryota; Metazoa; Chordata; Amphibia; Anura; Pelobatidae.
UGGCUUCAGUGUUGACAAAUGUAGUUAGUUUUUUGUUUUUUUAAAAUACCUAAUCCAGGCAAAAAAUAAUGGGGGUUUGGUUACAUUAUAUGAUCAUGCAUUGCAUAAGGGCCCUAUUUAGCCUUGUACUGCAGAGAGCUCUAAAUUGAAUUUCCCCCCCAAGUAAGUAGCUCAUGAAGCAGACACUAGGCUGGUAGUGUAGGACAUGCCAAAGAUGGGGUACAUUGAAGUUGUGGCAGGCUUAUGCAAUGUAUGAUCAUAUAAUGUAACUAAACCCCCAUUAUUUUUUGCCUGGAUUAGGUGUUUUUACAAAAACUAAGUAAAUCUUCCAGCAUUGAAGUUGCUGUUUAGGGUAUAAUGGAGUGCACUGGACUUUCUGUUUUUAUUGUACAAACUGGCUCCCAGCAGCACCCUACUUAUGCAUAUUCAGGUGAGUGCAGCCAGCCCCCUGUUUUCUGAUAGGAUCUGUAUCUUGUCUGGUCAGGACAAACUGUCAAAUAUACUUAACAGCUUCUUCUCAUCCUCCGCAAUAUCGGUCUACAAGAUAUUGCUCUCUCCUGGUGCUCCUCCUACCUUUCCCAGCUCUCUUUCAGUGUUUCUUUCUCUGGCUCUGCUUCUUCUCCCCAACUCCUCUCUGUUGGUAUCCCCCAAGGUUCAGUCCUUGGUCCUCUAGUGUUCUCCAUCUAUACUGCCUCCCUUGGUAAACUCAUUAGCUACUUUGGCUUCCAAUAUAAUUUCUAUGCAGAUGACACGAAAAUCUACCUGUCCUCUCCUGAUCUCUCCCCGUCCCUCUUGACUAGUGUCUCUGACUGCCUCUCUGCUAUUUCUAACUGGAUGGCUGCCCACUUCCUAAAACUCAACUUGACCAAACUUGAAAUUCUGGUUUUUCCUCCCUCAAGUGUUUCUACUCUUCUGUCUGUCUUCCUCCAAGUCAACGGUGCUACUAUCCGCUCCACCACGCAGGCUUGCUGCCUAGGUGUUCUCUUUGACUCAGACCUCUCCUUCACGCCUCAUGUUCAGUCUAUUGCCAAAUCCUGCCGCUUCCAUCUCAAAAACAUUGCGCACAUCCGUCCCUACUUGAUGCCAGAUGUGACUAAGGUGCCGGUCCAUUCCACUGUCCUUUCUCACCUUGACUAUUGUAAUGCGCUUCUCAGUGGUCUUACAUGCUCCCAACUUGCACUGUUACCGUCCAUAAUGAAUGCGGUAGCCAGGCUCAUCUUCCUGUCCGCCUGCACCUCCCAUGCCUUACCCUUUUGUCAGUCCCUACAUUGGCUUCCUGUAAGAUAUAGGGCUCAAUUUAAAAUUCUGGUUCUUGUUUUCAAAUCUCUACAUAAUGCUGCUCCCACCUAUCUAUCCUCCCUAAUAGACAAGUAUGUCCAGUCUAGGCCCUUACGCUCUGCUGAAGACUUACGUCUAUCUUCUGUCCGUACUCCCAGCUCUGAUGCUCACCUUCAAGACUUCUCAAGGGCUGCACCGUUCCUGUGGAACUCCCUUCCCUCCUCCGUUAGAUGCUCACCCAGUCUCCACUCCUUCAAAAAAUCGUUAAAAACCCACUUCUUCAUAAAAGUGUAUCAAUUAAACUGUUAAUAGCUCCCGACUGAUUCCUCUCUUGCAACUGUC